AUUUCUUGCCUCCUCUUCUCUCCUUUUCUCUCUAUCUUUUAGAUCAUCAACUACUUCUCCUUUUUGUUGAGGUCAUUAAUAUUCUCCACCUUCAUCAUCUUCUCCUACAUAUUAUCAGUCUCCAUAUCUUUAUUCACCAUUUUAUUUUUAUCAACACUAAACAUCUCAGUAUAGCUAUUUAUCUUGUGUUAUUCAUCUUAGAUAAUGUAAAAUCUUUUGUAAUCUUUAAUUUAUAUAAUGGAUUGAUGAUGAUUUGCUCCUAUAAAUGUAGGCCUAAAGUCAAACCAUGUAAAUAUUGUGUGUUCUUUGUAUUUAUGUUUAUUUUGCUAUAUUAUUAAUUUG
This 342-nucleotide long non-coding RNA is filed under the name Citrus sinensis (sweet orange). Its description in RNAcentral is "long non-coding RNA (CSIN_LNC004205)". Lineage: Eukaryota; Viridiplantae; Streptophyta; Magnoliopsida; Sapindales; Rutaceae. The record is from RNAcentral.